GACGAACGCUGGCGGCGUGCUUAACACAUGCAAGUCGAACGGUGAACCUCUUGGUUGGGGCUCAGUGGCGAACGGGUGCGUAACAGUUGUGCAACCUGACCCCGGCUCUGGGAUAACUUAAAGAAAUUGGAGCUAGUACCGUAUCUUCACCGCUCCCCGCAUGGGUGGUGGUGGAAAGGGUUUCCGGCAUGGGAUGGGUCCGCGGUCUAUGAGCUUGUUGUUGGGGUAGUGGCCUACUACGGCGACGACGGAUAGGCGGCCUGAGGGGGUGACCGGCCACAAGGGGACUGAGGCACGGCCCAGACUCCAACGGGAGGCAGCAGUGGGGAAUAUUGCGCAAUAGGCCGAAGCCUGACGCAGCGACGCCGCGUGGGGGAUGAAGGCCUUCGCGUAGUAAACCUCUUUCCGCAGGGACGAAGCGGAAGUGACGGUACCUGAAGAAGAAGCACCGGCCAACUACGUG
RNAcentral lists this ribosomal RNA (463 nucleotides) under uncultured bacterium. RNAcentral's name for it is "partial 16S ribosomal RNA". It matches the Rfam family "Bacterial small subunit ribosomal RNA", at positions 28 to 507 of the family's 1533-position model. The record is from RNAcentral.